UACGAAGGGGGCUAGCGUUGUUCGGAAUUACUGGGCGUAAAGGGCGCGUAGGCGGCUUGGCAAGUUGGGUGUGAAAGCCCAGGGCUCAACCCUGGAACUGCACUCAAGACUGCCUUGCUUGAAUUCGGUAGAGGCUGGUGGAAUUCCCAGUGUAGAGGUGAAAUUCGUAGAGAUUGGGAAGAACACCCGUGGCGAAGGCGGCCAACUGGACCGACAUUGACGCUGAGGCGCGAAAGCGUGGGGAUCAAACAGG
This 253-nucleotide ribosomal RNA is filed under the name uncultured bacterium. Its description in RNAcentral is "partial 16S ribosomal RNA". It matches the Rfam family "Bacterial small subunit ribosomal RNA", at positions 524 to 776 of the family's 1533-position model. The record is from RNAcentral.